UGUCCAGUAGCACCUUAGAGACCAACUAAGUUUGUUCUGGGUAUAAGCUUUCGUGUGCAUGCACACUUCCCCAGAACAAACUUAGUUGGUCUCUAAGGCUCUACUGGACA
Molecule: non-coding RNA, 110 nt
Organism: Podarcis lilfordi (Lilford's wall lizard)
Lineage: Eukaryota; Metazoa; Chordata; Lepidosauria; Squamata; Lacertidae
Source: the annotation of a GenBank genome assembly